This is a small nuclear RNA of Octopus sinensis (East Asian common octopus), 186 nucleotides long. RefSeq annotates it as U2 spliceosomal RNA. NCBI's taxonomy places the organism in Eukaryota, Metazoa, Mollusca, Cephalopoda, Octopoda, Octopodidae. The record is from RefSeq and is a predicted model, not a curated record. The transcript has a single exon.
UUGACACUAUGGCCUUUUGGCUAAGAUCAAAACGUAGUAUCUGUUCUUAUCAGCUUAAUAUCUGAUAUGGUCCCUGUUUGGGGCCAUCGAUAAUUUUUAGAACGAAGCGAAGAGUUAGGGGCUCGCUCCGCCUUUGCCACAGGUUGGCCUGGUAUAGCAGUACUUCCAGGAUUCAGCCCAUCUCCC